Molecule: ribosomal RNA, 502 nt
Filed under: uncultured Entrophospora
Lineage: Eukaryota; Fungi; Glomeromycota; Glomeromycetes; Entrophosporales; Entrophosporaceae
Description: SSU rRNA
Rfam family: Eukaryotic small subunit ribosomal RNA
Source: RNAcentral
AGCAGCCGCGGUAAUUCCAGCUCCAAUAGCGUAUAUUAAAGUUGUUGCAGUUAAAAAGCUCGUAGUUGAAUUUCGGGAUUGACGUGAUGGUCGUGCCUUACGGGGUAUGAACUGUUGCUGUUGAUUUCUCACCUUCUGGAGAAACUUGAUGUCCUUAAUUGGGUGUCUUGCGGAUCCAGGACCUUUACCUUGAAAAAAUUAGAGUGUUUAAAGCAGGCAUUUUGCUCGAAUACAUUAGCAUGGAAUAAUAGAAUAGGACGGCAUGGUUCUAUUUUGUUGGUUUCUAGGAUCACCGUAAUGAUUAAUAGGGAUAGUUGGGGGCAUUAGUAUUCAAUUGUCAGAGGUGAAAUUCUUGGAUUUAUUGAAGACUAACUACUGCGAAAGCAUUUGCCAAGGAUGUUUUCAUUAAUCAAGAACGAAAGUUAGGGGAUCGAAGACGAUCAGAUACCGUCGUAGUCUUAACCAUAAACUAUGCCGACUAGGGAUCGGACGAUGUUAAUUU